Molecule: ribosomal RNA, 484 nt
Filed under: uncultured bacterium
Lineage: Bacteria
Description: partial 16S ribosomal RNA
Rfam family: Bacterial small subunit ribosomal RNA
Source: RNAcentral
AUUGAACGCUGGCGGCAGGCCUAACACAUGCAAGUCGAGCGGAUGAAGGGAGCUUGCUCCUGGAUUCAGCGGCGGACGGGUGAGUAAUGCCUAGGAAUCUGCCUGGUAGUGGGGGAUAACGUCCGGAAACGGGCGCUAAUAUCGCAUACGUCCUGAGGGAGAAAGUGGGGGAUCUUCGGACCUCACGCUAUCAGAUGAGCCUAGGUCGGAUUAGCUAGUUGGUGGGGUAAAGGCCUACCAAGGCGACGAUCCGUAACUGGUCUGAGAGGAUGAUCAGUCACACUGGAACUGAGACACGGUCCAGACUCCUACGGGAGGCAGCAGUGGGGAAUAUUGGACAAUGGGCGAAAGCCUGAUCCAGCCAUGCCGCGUGUGUGAAGAAGGUCUUCGGAUUGUAAAGCACUUUAAGUUGGGAGGAAGGGCAGUAAGUUAAUACCUUGCUGCUUUGACGUUACCAACAGAAUAAGCACCGGCUAACUUCGUG